AUCGUCAAUAGCGUAACGGCUGAACCAGCAACUUGAAGGAAUGUAUAGCGAAAGCUAAUUGUGUUUAACUUAGCGAAAGCUAAGUUGGUGCAAUAUUGACUAUGUCAAAUAAAGUUCUAGGUAGAAUUAUGAUGAUGACAUUGUUUAUCUAUGUGUCUUGACCAAAUUACGUGCCAGCAGUCGCGGUAACACGUAAAAGACUAGUGUUACUCAUCUUUAAUAGGUUUAAAGGGUACCUAGACUGCCAAUCAAGCCCCCAAAAGGGUACUAAUUGGCUAGAGUUUAAUAUAAGGAGGCAUGAAAGUACUGAGAAUGUUGAGAGAUGAAAUUCUGUGAUACUAUAUAUGGCACUGGUAAAGGCGAAAGCAUCUUAUUAUGUAAUAACUGACGUUGAGGGACGAAGGCUGUGUAUAGCAAAAAGGAUUAGAUACCCAAGUAGUCUCAGCAGAAAAUGAUGAAUGUCAUAGGAUAGAUGAAUUUUGUACUAUAAAUGAAAGUGUAAGCAUUCCACCUUAAGAGUAAUUUGGCAACAUUGGAACUGAAAUCAUUAGACCGUUUCUGAAACAAGUAGUGAAGUAUGUUGUUUAAUUUGAUGGUCCGCAAAAAACCUUACCACAAUUUGUAUGUAAAAUUUUUUAUACAAGCGCUGCACGGUUGUCUUCAGUUAAUGUCGUGAGAUUGUGGUUAGUUCCAUUAAAUUAACGUAAACCCAUACUUUAUUUUUAUAUAGAGUAGUUCACCGCUAGAUUGGAUGUGAUAAUAGGGACUAAGACGAGUCAUCAUGGCCUUAAUAUUGUGGGCUAUAGACGUGCCACAUAUGCCUUUACARAAGGGAUGCG
Molecule: ribosomal RNA, 839 nt
Filed under: Buellia aethalea
Lineage: Eukaryota; Fungi; Ascomycota; Lecanoromycetes; Caliciales; Caliciaceae
Description: SSU rRNA
Source: RNAcentral